AAUCCUUUGUCCCUGAGUGAGAAU
Molecule: microRNA, 24 nt
Filed under: Cavia porcellus (domestic guinea pig)
Lineage: Eukaryota; Metazoa; Chordata; Mammalia; Rodentia; Caviidae
Description: Cpo-Mir-362-P5_5p (mature (guide))
Source: RNAcentral